RNAcentral lists this ribosomal RNA (468 nucleotides) under uncultured bacterium. Its description in RNAcentral is "partial 16S ribosomal RNA". It matches the Rfam family "Bacterial small subunit ribosomal RNA", at positions 28 to 507 of the family's 1533-position model. The record is from RNAcentral.
GACGAACGCUGGCGGCGUGCUUAACACAUGCAAGUCGAACGGAAAGGCCCUGCUUUUGUGGGGUGCUCGAGUGGCGAACGGGUGAGUAACACGUGAGUAACCUGCCCCUGACUUUGGGAUAACCUCAGGAAACUUGGUCUAAUACCGGAUACGAGCUCCCGCUGCAUGGUGGGGGUUGGAUAGUUUCGGCGGUUGGGGAUGGACUCGCGGCCUACCAGCUUGUUGGUGGGGUAGUGGCUUACCAAGGCUUUGACGGGUAGCCGGCCUGAGAGGGUGAACGGCCACAUUGGGACUGAGAUACGGCCCAGACUCCUACGGGAGGCAGAAGUGGGGAAUAUUGCACAAUGGGCGGAAGCCUGAUGCAGCGACGCCGCGUGCGGGAUGACGGCCUUCGGGUUGUAAACCGCUUUCGCCUGUGACGAAGAGUGUGUGACGGUAAUGGGUAAAGAAGCACCGGCUAACUACGUG